GGGUAGUGGACGGGUCAAACUAACAUUCAUUUACAGGUGAUGUUAUGUCACCGACUGACCAUCCCUUACAUCUGUAGUGUCUGUCACGUUUCAAGGGUAUUCAAGCUUAUUUCUACCCUAACCAUUAUCUUUGACUAUACUGUACUACGUUGUUUCACAACGUUGACCACUUGCCCAAAUAUUCAGCGUCUGGACGCUCCUCAAGAGGCAUCUUGCGGUGACGUUGGGGCCCCGGCCCAGGUGGCAGAAUGUGACAAGUAGGCGUCAGAGCAUGUGGCAACGAUAGUUACUCGUACUUUGUUGCUCCAUUAAAGGCAUUGACCAAGCGGUGGCGGAUGAACCGUUGGACGAUUUGUAAGCGCCUCAAUGCACGAUGUGUCUGGGGUUGAUAAUGGUUGCCUUGCCCAGCUAGUUGGUCAAGAUUUAGUCGGUUAAAGAGGCUUGCUUUUCAGUUCUAUCAACGAUCAGGAUGUCGCACCCCCCCCCCCCCCCAAGCUCCCAAUGAGGACUCUGAAGCGAACUGUGCCUGGGGCUUACGAGACAGCAGGCGGAUACUCAGAAGAACUGUACAUGAUGUCCAAAAAGAGACUCUUUCUUUCCGAGCUCAUACUGCCGAGUCUUUGUGUUCGGAUACCGGGGUGUUUUGUAUCUGAGCGAAGCUUCAAACUGUCCCUGUGACUGCCGCUUUUGAUUCUUCCCCGCACUCUCCCAUGUGCUGUUCCCCGCUCCCGUUGUCAAAUAUUCUGAGUCACUUCAGACACAAGCCGCUUGUUGUUUUUUCACGACAGGGCGGGAGACGGCAGCAGCCGGUUCGUGUCCUGUUAUCCGUGACACAGGACCGUCGCAGCACCCUGACACUGCUUUGGACACGGCCGGUCCGGCUGGCCAUGGGAAGACAGCUUGUCUCCUGUCCGCACAAAAGCGGGCUUUGUACAAAAAAAACAUGGAUCAGCUAAGAGGAACCUAUGGUCGUGAAUCGGCUCCUGUGUCCACUACAUAAGGGAUUGAUUCAACAUGGGUAUUAUUCCAUCAGGGCCUUUGACAGUGUGGACGACCCCUGGCUGUGUUGUGGUGCUGGAACACAGUUGUUCCGAUUGAGAGGGGAAUACCGCUCGGUUUGUACUGCAAAGAGCGUCGGGUCUAAAUAUAUCUCUUAUAUCUGAAGGGAGCUCUGGCUUGAGUGUUGUUGCCUGUCUUUAGCGUGUCGCACCGCUAUAUUCCACUGCACAUACAGUCAGCGUGGUUACAUGGAUUCGAAUAACUGGCUUAGUCGGACUGAAAUCGAAUGAUCCGUUUCAUGUAAACACCUUUGUCCGACUGUGUGCGGUCCGACAACGGUCCGACUAACACCCCUGGAUAACUCCAUCCGAUCCAGUUGAUAGUUCGACUAUUGCGGCAUGUAACGGUGAAUCGGAUAAGGAACUGGACUUCGCGUCUUUGCGCAUGCUUGAGAUCCCGACGCCGUCUUCUCUCCGUUAUCAAAUCAGCCGAUAGCGCCAUUCGCAUUCGCUGUGCUCCUAUUAGCAUCAUGCACACACAGUAGAGGGAUGUAGCUUCACCUUGCUCUCCGCUCGCCAUCUUUCCCGUAAUGUUGAUGUUGUUGAAAUGGCUGUAUCACAACUAGUUGUAAUGAAAACAGCGCCACCUAUCGUAUCGGAUAUGACAUGCUUUCGGCCAAUGAUUCGAUUUAUUCACUGCCAUGUAUAUUGGGAUAAUAGCACUUGCCCCAAAAGAGAGCAUAGUCCGACUAAGCAAAUAUUUGAAUUAUACCAUCAUGUAAACACACUGAGUGGUGGGGCAAACAAAUAACAGCAAUACCACAUUAAAAAGCGCUUUAACUUUGAAUUACACUACAACUACAAAGUGACAGAUGAUUAACCGGACGUGUCUGCAGGGAGAUAUCUGUCUGUAAUUACUUGUUUCAAAGUGCAGUGUCAGCAUGCAGAUUUUGUGUGUGAAGUUUAUACUGAAAAACAUCCAUCAAACUCGCUCGUCAUACGUAGGUGCUUGAUUCAUUUUAUUUGCAUAGUGGUUCUCGAAGUGUUUAAAACGACUAACCGUUCUUCCA
Long non-coding RNA from Gasterosteus aculeatus aculeatus (three-spined stickleback), 2068 nucleotides. The record is from Ensembl. NCBI's taxonomy places the organism in Eukaryota, Metazoa, Chordata, Actinopteri, Perciformes, Gasterosteidae.